Molecule: unclassified non-coding RNA, 346 nt
Filed under: soil metagenome
Description: partial contains 5.8S ribosomal RNA, internal transcribed spacer 2, and large subunit ribosomal RNA
Rfam family: 5.8S ribosomal RNA (bases 1-120)
Source: RNAcentral
GAUGAAGAACGUAGCAAAAUGCGAUAAGUAAUGUGAAUUGCAGAAUUCAGUGAAUCAUCGAAUCUUUGAACGCACAUUGCGCCCGCUGGUAUUCCGGCGGGCAUGCCUGUUCGAGCGUCAUUUCAACCCUCAAGCCCCCGGGUUUGGUGUUGGGGAUCGGCUCUGCCUUCUGGCGGUGCCGCCCCCGAAAUACAUUGGCGGUCUCGCUGCAGCCUCCCCUGCGUAGUAGCAACACUCGCAUGCGGAGCGCGGCGCGGCCACGCCGUAAAACCCCCGACUUUCUGAACGUUGACCUCGGAUCAGGUAGGAAUACCCGCUGAACUUAAGCAUAUCAAUAAGCGGAGGA